RNAcentral lists this long non-coding RNA (11897 nucleotides) under Coffea arabica (coffee). RNAcentral describes it as "long non-coding RNA (CARA_LNC000100)". The record is from RNAcentral. Lineage: Eukaryota; Viridiplantae; Streptophyta; Magnoliopsida; Gentianales; Rubiaceae.
UUUUUUUUUGUUUUUGGUGUUUUUGAACUUUUUUUUUGUGUUUUUGGUAUUUUGAAGUUGUUUUUGGUAUUUUUGAGAUUGUUUUUGUUUGUGUAUUAUUGUAAUAUUGUAGUUUAAAAACUUGUUUCAAAAAAUGAUCAAUCCAAACAGACCAGUGAUUUUUAACUGGAUUUUUUUACAAUUCAGCAUGGGCGCAUCAAAAUUGAAUUCUGCAUGUACGAAGGUUCAGGAUUUGGCACGUGAUUUCCAAGCUUUAAAUUGAAAUUGCAAGAAUCAAAUGUUCCAUCGAAUGGAAGUGUUCUACUCCUACUAGGAUAUUAGUCAAUUUAUCUAUUAGAACUAUUAGCAAUUUUCUUUUUUAUGGAAUAGGAGAUAUUGACUUGUUGUCAAUUUUGAUUUCGCUUAGUAUUAGUAGUUUAGUAGGAGUAGGAAACAUAAUAGCAGGAGGCAUUAUCGUUCCUUUAAUCUUUUCUUUUCUCCGAGCGAGAGAAUUAGUAGUAGUACUAGUUUAGGAAAAGAAAAGAGCGUAAGGAUGAGGGACUCUUGACUUUCGUGAUUUUUGAGACUUUGUUCCGGUCCCAAGAAACUAAUAGUUUAGUUGGAAGCAAAGAACCGAACGAAGAGUUUUUCUCUGGGUCUCUUCUUUUGCUUUUCUAUUAUGGGAUGUUCAUGCAGCUUUUGUCAAUGAAAUUGCUUGGAUUAUUUCCAACGCUGAUCAGCUAGUUUUUCAUUUUAGUCAAGAAGUUAUGGAGAAUUUAGUUCAUCUAAAAUUAUGAGAUGGAAUUGAUUAUAUUUAUUUCCUUUAUUUUACUGAUAUUCGUAUGUUCUCUGAUUUAAUUUUUUUUAAGGUUAUUAUUUUAUUUAAAUAUCAGGGGCACCUGAUAUUUAAUUUAAUCUAAUAAUGUAAAACCAGUUAAAGCAGUUAAAUCCGUAAUUGUUUAAUUACUUUAAAUUAGUGGCGGCUGACAUGAUUGAAUUUGUAUCAGGAGAACAUAUGGGCUAAUUUAAAAUAACCCUCGUAGCGUGUUAUUUGGUUAGAAUAGGUUUUCUCUAAUUUUUAAGACAACUGGGGAAUUGAACUCUAAGAUCGUGCUUAAGAUUAUUUCUUGAUUAGAGCGACUAAUGGUCGUAUUUUGAUCACCGAUACAGUAAGGAAAAGUUGAUUGUCAUCGCAUGUUUGGCAGUUAUAAAUUAUUUAUCAGUGAGUAAAUGAAAUUAUCAUUGCAUCGAUGAUUAAUUGAGUGAACCAUCUCCGAAAUUAUUUCUUGGCUAGAGAUUAUUCAUUAUUGAUUUAAUUUUUCUAAAUUGUCAUUUAAUUUUAAUUUUAUUUUAUUUAUAUGAGUUGUUUAAUUAUCCUCAAUUAUAUAAAAAUCCCCUCCAUACUCUAAACUCUAGAAGAAAUGAAUUCUCCUAGUCCCUGUGGAUUUGACCCUACUUAUCACUAUAUACAAAAUGCAUAUUUUAUUUGUGCAGAUAUUUAUUAUUGCACAAGUUAGAUACUUAUCAAUUUUUGGCGUCGUUGCCGGGGAUUGGAGCCUGAUAAAUUUGUUUCUUUUUUUUGAGUUCAUCUUAUUUUCAUUUAUAUUUUUUUCUUAUUUCUGUUUUGCUAGUUUAUGGCUACUAAUAUUCAAUAUUUUGGUAAUAAACUGAAUUUUAUUCCUAUGAGGGGUAAUGAGACUCGUGUUUUUUCUAAUGAUCAAUAUUUAGAUUAACUAACCUCAUGUACAAAAUUUGGUUGUUGCAACUUGUGAAAUUUGUUAUGUCUCAGAUCAUCCAAUCGACAUAUGCCCCUUAUUUUAAAAUGACUUGAGUGCCCCAAUCAAUAUUUUUGAAAUUUUUCACCCUAAUCUCGAACAUGGUAUGACCCUUAUUCAAAUGCGUAUACUCAAGAAUGGUGGGAUAGCUCCAACUUUAAUUAUGCUAUAGAACCAAUCGAUUUUUAAUAUCAGUAUCAACAGUAAGAGUCUCAAGAACCAUCAUCCAUAUCAGGUAUGUCUCUUGAAGAAAUGAUGAAAUUACUAACUGCUAAUAUAUAUUGAUUUCAACAGGAGACACAAAUGAAAAUUAGAGGGACGGAGGAUGGAAUAUGUCAACAACUAUUAUCCACAUCAAGUAUGUCUCUUAAAGAAAUAAUUGAUCAUUUUCAACUGGAGAUACAAAUAAGAAUUAGAAGGAUGGAAGAUCAAAGGCAUCUAUUUGUAGCUACAAUGAGCUAAUUGAUUUCUCCAAUUUGUGAAGAAUUUCCCUCACAGACUAUUAUCGAUCUUGAGAAAGAUGAGAGUGCAAUUACCCUGACAUGUGACGAGAAGCUGCAAGAGUUCCAGGGAGAAGGAUCUUCAAAUGCAGUUGAAAAGGAAGUUGAGAAUGAAAAAAUAAAACUCCAACCUCUAAUCAUUGAAGUGAAUGAAUCUAGUGAGCAAAUCUCAAAUAUAGUGACACCUCCUCCAUUCAUUAGCCAACAUUACCCUAACUCUUAUUCUAUAAUUUCUGCUAGUGCAAUUGAUGUUAUUAUACCAGAAAUUUUUGAGUCUUAUGACAGGAAUAAGUUAGGAGUUGUUAUGGCCAAAUAUCUUGAAUCGCUACGUACUCGUGAUGGAGGAGCGAGUGAAGAAUUAAGUCACUAUUUAACUAUUUGACGUCAUCUACUAGUCAAUGGAAGAAAGCAAUUCGUGUGCUUAAGGAUCCCUCUAUUUACGAGAGUUAUCAGAGUUAUAUAAAGAAUGAAACACUAAAAUGAGUUACACGAUUUUAUCCUCUAUGAAUAAAUAUGGUAAUGUCUAACAAAAGACAUUAAAGAAAGACGCUGCUUGGGAGGCAACUCAAGAAUUUUUAAUUUUAGUCAUUUCAUGUGUCUUGCUUAAUUCUUAGGUGCAAUUUAAGUGAUUGUGUUUCUUUGUAUCAGCAAGCAAUUAACUGGAAGACGUGCUCAAUUCAGAAUUGACUGUUGAAUAUUCCUAUGUCUAACACAAUUUUUCAGGAGACUCUUCAUGAUUUUGGUGUGGCUACGCUUUCUAGUCACGUGCUAAGAAAAAAAUUUCACUAUACAAUGUCAAAAAACUCCCAAUCUUUAUGACGUGCCCGCGUCUUCUGGUAACGUAUUAGGAAGAAAUUUUCCAAAUUCAUGAUCAGAAGACUCUUCCACUUUUUGACGUGCUUGUUUCAUGUUUCAGUGAGAAGGGUAAAAAAAAAAUAGAGAGAGAGAGAGAGAGAGAGGAUUUUUCUUUUUCCUUUUCCUUUCCUUUUCUUUUCCCAUUUUUUUCUCUCUUUUUUUAUCUUUUUCUUUUUCUUUCUUUCUCCCUUCUUUCUUUCCUUUCUUUUUCUUUCUUUCUUCUUUCUUUCUUUCUUUACUCUUCUUCGUCGCACAAGCUCUAUAUUUUCAAGAUGAUGCAGAAUCUGGCAGCAUUCUUUCAUCACGUAGGAUUCAACCCACCUUUUGCUCCUAAUUCGUCGCCAUUUGUUAUCUCCUUCACGUUUAGGGAAGUUUCGUUGUCCCUUUUACUUCAUAUUUUGUUCUUUAUUUCUUAUAUUGGGGACAAUGUAAAAUUUAGGUGUGGGGGAGUAGUAUAUUAGAAGAGUACAAAUAUAGGUAUUUUUGUUUUAAAUUUUUUGUUCAAUUUUUUUCAAAUUUUAUCCAAUUUUUAUCUAUUGUGCAUAUUUGUGGUUAUCCCUAAUAAAAGAUAGUUAGAUGUAUCAAAAUUUUCUAUUACUAAGAUUUUAUACUCUAAGGUGUCAAGUAUGAUGUGAUAAGGUCUAAGGGUUUCUCUUUAGUGAAUAGUUGAGAUUUUGUGAUAUUUGCAAUUUUUGGUUAACUUUUCUAUGUAUUGUAAAUAUUUGUCUAGCAUUUUUCGUGUAGAUUGAUUUAAUUAUUAAUCUUAGUUCUCUAUGUUUAGGAAAUGAAGUGGGCUUGUGUGGUCUUUAAUUUUAAUUUGGUACUUAUUUAUGAAUAGUAUUUGGUUAUACUCCACUGGUUAUUGUUGCCCAGUAACCGGGAAUUUUCAUCAAAAGUGUCGACUUUUGUAUCAAAAAGUGGCGAUAGUUAUGAGUAUGUGAUUUUUAAACAAUGAAAGUUAAGUAACCAGACUCCUUUAUUUAGUAAAUAUUGGACUUCGCGUCAAAAGAUUUAAAUGGCUAAGGACUAAGCAUUUCUCCUAGAAAAAAAUUAAGAAAAAAAAAAAGAAGUUUAAGUAUGGGAAACAUCUUUAAACAAAAAAAAAAGUGUAUAUGAAUAUGAAAGUGUAUGAAUAAGUUGCUGGCCCGCUGAUCCAUGGAUUGUAAUGUUGAGAUUUUGAUUAAUAAUCGAACCAUUUGCUGACGGAUGCUAGUUGAAUAUUUUAUAUUCUUAAAUUAAUUAGUUGGGAAUUGGGAGAGUCCAUAGUUUUAAAAGCUAACUGGAGAGGUAUUUCUUAGAAAUUAGCCAUUAAUGCUUGACAUGUUUUUCAUUUUAAUUAUACCUUGACAAUAAAUGAUUUGAGUAAUAGCCAUUGUUUGAAUUCAAUGACUUAGUAGUGCGUUAUUAGUCGUUUUCAUGCUUGAGAAUAAGCAUGGUUUAAGUGUCGGGGAAAUUGAUAAGUUGCAUUUUUAUCAUUAAAUUUAUGAUUAUUUUUCCCUUCAUUUUAUUUAUAUAUUGUAUUAAUUGAUAGAUUCUACUUAUAUUUGGUAAUUAUGUUGAUUGUAGGGAUCCCAAACGAAAAGGACUCAAGAACGUGAAUUUUAAUUAGAUUUUUGUGCAAUUCGGCGUGGGCGCAUCAAAAUAUAAUUCUACAUGUACGAAGGUUCGGGAUUUGGCACGUGAUUUCUAUGUUUUGAAUUGAAAUUACAAGAAUCAGAUGACACCAAAUGGAAGUCUUCUACUUCUACUAGGAUAUUACUCAAUUUAUCUAUUAGAACUAUUAGGACUUUUCCUUUUUAUGGAAUAGGAGAUAUUGACUUGUUGUCAAUUUUGAUUUCGCUUAGUAUUAGUAGUUUAGUAGGAGUAGGAAACACAAUAGCAGGAGGCAUUAUCGUUCCUUUAAUCUUUUCUUUUCUCCGAGCGAGAGAAUUAGUAGUAGUACUUGUUUAGGAAAAGAAAAGAAACGUAAGGAUGAGGGACUCUUGACUUUCGUGAUUUUUAAGACUUUGUUCCGGUCCCAAGAAACUAGUAGUUUAGUUGGAAGCAAAGAACCGAACGAAGAGUUUUUCUCUUCGUCUCUUCUUUUGCUUUUCUAUUAUCGGAUGUUCAUGCAGCUUUUGUCAAUGAAAUUCCUUGGAUUAUUUCCAACGAUGAUCAGCUAGUUUUUCAUUUUAGUCAAGAAGCAUUAGAGAAUUUGGUUCAUCUAAAAUUGUGAGAUCGAAUUAAUUAUAUUUUUUUCCUUUAUUUUACUAGUAUUUAUAUGUUCUCUAAUUUAAUUUUUUAGGGUUAUUAUUUUAUUAGUAUAUCAAGGGCGCCCGAUAUUUAAUUUAAUAUAAGAACUUAAAAUCAGUUAGAGCAGUUAAAUCCGUAAUUGUUUAAUUGUUUUAAAUUAUUGGUGACUGGUAUGAUUGAAUUUGUGUCAAAGGAACAUAUGGACUAAUUAAAAUAACCCUCGUAGCAUGUUAGUUGGUUAGAACAGGGCUUCUCUAAUUUUUAAGGCAAUUGAGGAAUUGAACUCUAAGAUCGUACCUAGGGUUAUUUCUUAAUUAGGGAAGUGAUUAAUGGUCGUACCUUGAUCAGCGAUACAGUAAGGAGAAAUUGAUUAUUAUCGAAUGUUUGCCAGUUAUAAAUUGUUAAUCAGUAAGUAAAUGAAAUUAUCAUUGCAUCGAUCAUCAAUGGAGUGAACAAUUUUCGAAGUUAUUUCUUGGCUAGACAUUAUUCAUUAUUGAAUUAAUUUAGCUAAAUUGUCAUUUAAUUUUUAUUUUAUUCUAUUUAUCCGAGUUGUUUAAUUAUCCUCAAUUAUAUAAAAAUCCCCUCCAUACUCCGAACUCUAAAAGAAAUGAAUUUUUCUAGUCCCUGUGGAUUCGACCUUACUUACUAUUGUAUACAAAAUCUAUAUUUUCUUUGAGCAUGUAUUUAUUAUUACACAGGCUCGACACCUGUCAAAUUCAAAGUGAUUCUGGCAGAAUUUUGCAAGGGAAAUUAUUGGUCAUAAUGGUGAUGAACUUGGUUCAAGAAAGAGCAUGAUUUAAGGGAGGCAGUGUUCACAUAUUAAAUCAAGACCCAAAAUUAGAAAUUUUCAUAUUAUUAUUUAGUAGUGUUUUAGUCAGGUUAGGAUUUUAGCAACUCUAUUUUGUUCAAGUUAUGGUAGUUUUAUUAUUUAGGAAUUAGUUUGUUAUGAGGAAAUUUCUUGUGGUGUAAGACUUAUUUAUCAAGUCAUCUAGUCUAUAAAUAGGGAAUAAUAUUAUUAUAUAGUUGAGAGGAGUGAAAUUUGAGAGAUUUGUUAUAGUGUGUGAUUAAUAUAAUAUUGUUGAUAUUUAUUCCUUUUCUCCCAUACAUACUUGUAUAUGUGUAAAUUGCCUCGCCAAAUAGAUUGAUUUUAUGAAAUGUAUCUCCUAUAUAAUGUUUUGGUCAAUUUUUGGGUUCUACAUUGUUGGGUGAAAGAGUGAAAUUCAAAGCAGAAAGAAUUUGUUGAUUGUUAUCUGAAAAGUAUAGAUCCAAAAUCCAAAAAUAUCAAAAUUAAGUUCUUUAUGUCUUGAAUUAUAAUGGAAAGUGGUCAAACCUUUGAAAACAUCUAUAUCAUGAACGAAGUGCAGCACUAAUUGACAGGUUGUAGAAACUUGUGCAAUAAAAAAAUUAAAUCUAAUUGCCAAAUAAAGUAACCACAACCCAAUUUCAAGUACUGGAAUAGGGACUCUAGAUGUGCAAUGGGUUACUUGAUUCACCCUAUUCCCGAAGAGUUUCCUUGAUCCGAUAUACCUAUAUGGGAUGACUUUUCGCAAAUAAUUAUUAAUUUGUAAACAGAGCAAGUAAGGUCAUAUCCUCAGGGAUUGGGGAUAUUUGUCUCUUUCGAAAUCCAAAGUAACACGGGGGUGUUUUUAUGUAUACGAUGACAAUCAAAGAAAUUCAAAUAAAAAUAAAUAUCUAACUAGAAAUUAAAUGACAAUACGCUGAAAUUGGAUUAAUAAUAAUUAAAGGUCUAGCCAAGAAAUAACUUCAGCAAUGGUUCACCUAAUUGAUCAUCGAUGCACAAGUAAUUCAAAUUAUUUAUUAAUAAAUAGGUUAUAACUGCCAAACAAGCGAUAACAGUCAACCCCUCCUUACUGUGUCGGUGAUUAAGGUACGCCGUUUAAUCACUGCUCUAAUUGAGAAAUAAUUCUAGGUACGCCCAUAAGAUUUAAUUCCACAAUUGCCUUACAUAUUAGAGUAGCUCUAUUCUAACCAAAUAACGCACUACCAAAAUUAUUUCAGAUUAACCCACGUAUCCCCCUGAUACAAACCUAAGCUGUCACUAAUUCAAGGCAAUUAAAUAAUUACAGGUUUAAUGCCCUAAUUGACAAUAGAUUAUCAAGUUAACUAAUUAUCUGGAUCCAAGAUAAUCAAUUAAUUAAAUAAUCAUAAGUACUGCAAUCAAGAAAUAUGCGAAUACCAAUAAAUAAAAGAAAAAGAUAAAAUUAAAUCGAUCUCACAAUUUUUAGGCGAACCAAAGCAUCCGUUGCUCCUUGACUAGACAAAGGAGAUUUAGUUCAUCCCGGAUGCUAAAAACCCACGCGAAAUUGAAUCAAUAGUGGCGACCAUUGUGCUCGCUCGCGGCAAUUCAAUCCGAUUGAAUGAAGAAGGAAAAGUAAGCUACAAUGAAAAGUUCAUUUGUUUCUGAUUGUCACCAGUGAAAAGUCAAACAGAGGAGCUAAAGAGAAUGAUUCAAUGUUCUUCUCAUAGCCUCUGGCCUACAAUAAUUAAAGCUAAGCAAAAGCUCACAAAAGGAAAGUCAAAGAGCAAAAGCUCUCCAAAAGAUAGUGCUCAUUCUCUGCCCCUAAUUUCUGUCUAAGUCCUACUACCCUCUUCCUGUGCGGUGGCUCCCCAGCGAGAAUAGAAGACCUCAGCCGUCCUCGCCUUUACAGCAAUUACCAAAAAUGGGCAUAAGCUUUCCUUUUCCAAAAAUGUCCCCUGGGAUAAUCUCUGUUGCUUGGGCUUCUUUCUUGUCAAAUUGGCACUUGUUAUCAUAUUUUCGUUCUACUCCCUGAAAUAAAUGCAAAAUAUUAAAAGUGAGUAGAAUUUAAUAAUUAAUCCACAGCAAAUCAGGUAAUAAGGAAAAUUAAUAAUAAAAUAAAUGAUUAAAUUGCAUCCUAUCAAUUCCCCCCACACCUAAACUAUGCUUGUCCCCAAAUAUAAGAACAGUAAACAAACAACAAUAUUUGACAAUGGCAGUUGCUCUAUCUACCAUAUUGCCAAGAUACCAAGAGAAACCCAUAUAUCAAGUAUCAGUGAUCAAAAUUCGAGAAACAUCACUCCGGUUAGCUUCUAAACCACAAACUCAUUCAAUUCCAACUUAACUAAUUUAAGAAAAAGGAAUGGAGCACAACAUUUAUCAGCAAAUGGUCCAAAUAUUAACCAAAAUCUCCACAUUAAAUCCAUAAAUUGGCAAACUGACUUUUAUCACAUACUAACACAACCUACACUUUUUUUUUCCACGUUUUCUAUAUUUUUUUUCUUUUUUUUUAGAUAGCACAAAAAACUUAGUCUCUAACCAUUGGAGCCUUUUGAUGCGAAUUCUAACAUUUUCAGAUGAAGGAGCCUAUUACUCAGUUCCUAUCGCUAUACGACUACAUACUCAUAGAAAUUACUACUUUUUGAUGCGAGAAUCGAUACUUUUGGUGAAGAUCCCCGGUUACUCAGUAGUAACAACUAGCGGAGUACAAUCAACUCUUAUUUAUAGCCACAUGGAACAAUAACGCAAAAUAACACUGCUAAAAAUAAAAAUAGGAGCAGCUAGCCUCAUUAUUGCCAAACAUGAAGAAUUAGAGCCAAUAUUGGACCAAUUCACAUGAAAAUGCCAACAGUCAUUCCCUUUACCUAGAAAAGUUAACAAAGAAAUCAAGAGAGUCAAGCAGUCAUCGAUAUUCACCAAAGAGACAUUUUGAACUCAACCGCAUUAACUCGAUACACUUUUAUUAUUAAAACUCGGCAAGAGUAGAUUUAGAGUCAACAAUCCAACAUCAAACUUUGACAUUCACAUGAGAGCUCAUAACUACAAAGAAAGAAAAUGGCUGAAUGAAAAAAAACAAAUAACAAACUAAAAAUAAAGGAAAAACGACUAAAAACUAAAAAUUAGAAAAAUUGGCACCCCAACUAAACCCCCCCACACCUAAACGGUACAUUACCCUCAAUAUAGCAAAUAAACAUCAAAAGUAUGAGAGAGGGUAACAAAACUUCCCUGAAGUAGGGUCAAAGUGGUGGGCGAUACCCAAAUUGCGAUGUAUGACCCGCAUGCUGCAUGAAUGCUGCUAAAUUCUGUGCCAUGUAAUGCACGUUGUGAUCAAUAUUGAUCAUUCGAGCCUCCAGAUUCUGAACUUGAAUCCGAAGUUGAUUCCAUUCAGCAGCUCCUGGGGGUGGUGGGGGCAGAGCGGAGGUAGACGAGCCUGCAUCAUCGCCAGCAGGGGCCGAAUUGGUAAAAGAAGAGUGAGGUGAGGCGCUGGGCGGUCCCGAGGGAGUAAAUCGGUAGGCACCAUUGACAUGCUCCAGAACUCCCAUCCUCUCUAAGCGUUCAACAUUCACAAAUUCCAUGUCGCAGGCCAAAUGAAGGUCGUGAUCCUGUAGAAUGAGAACUCCUAGCUGGACUGCCAGGCGGGUGAUGUAGGACUCGAGGAUCAGGGGUAUGUUCUUCUUUGCCAAAACGGUCUUGAACUGUGCAGUCAACCAACACCCCAAAUUGACUUUGAAACCGGUUUUCAUGCACCAGAGAAAGAAGAGCUUCGGUCGAGAGAUUAUACUGGAGCUAUCCUUUCUACCCGAGUAACUGUAUGCUAAGAGUCGUUGAACAUACCGAACACUCGGGUCCUCGAGAAAAGAGCUCCUAGAUCUAGACGGGUCAUACCGCUGCCUGUCGACGAAUAUGUCCCACCACACAUCAUGGUAGGGGGAAAGAAAUGGCUCUACAUAAUCACAGGCACUCUCGGCAUAUUCCCUAGUCACCGCAUACUCCCGAGUGAUAAAACCGAAUGCCAAAUUAAACUGGGUAAUAGAGAAAUUGAAUUCCUUACCCAUGAGACGGAAACGAAUGACAUUGGGAGUCUCAACAGUAUACCUCGUAGGUAAUUCAAACUCAAAGAUGGAAUAAAACUCCCUAGUCAACUCAACAAAGGCGGGUUGGAAAACAGCGAGAUAGGGGCGCCAUCCAAUGGCGGUGUACAUGCGCUCAACCUCCUCCUGGAUACCCAAAAAAAGCCAUAGUCAACUCGUCCGAGCACUUGAACGGAAUGAUACGCCGCUCACAGGCUUUAGCAUAGCGCCGCUCACAGGCCACGUGGGCACCCCUACCCCUGCCUAACCGGGUUCGGACACCGGAAACGGAAGGUUGGUUGAUAAGGGUAUUGACUGGAAUGGAGGGUUGGGGUGGUAGCUGAGACUAAGAGGUUCUAGACCUAGAAGAGGAUUUGGGUCGCACCAUAGCUCCUAACUGUCAACUCAAUCAACCAGAGAUAGAAGCGCCAACAAUAGUCUCAGUAAAUGCAAUUAGCAAAAGAAACUCAGCAAAAGCAAAGCAACAGUCUCCAAGUAGCAACCCAAUCAAUAGCCAAUAGAAGAAUUCCAGCAAGCGCCCCCAGUCCACUGGGGUCAAUAACCAACACAAGAAACAAAGAAGUCCGAAAACGGGGCGACGACUUGCACAAUGGAUUAGACCAAAAUCACAUACAAUGUCCCUCCGAAUCAGCAAUUUAAGUCGUCAGCUAGAAUGUCCCCAACAAUGCAAUUAAAUAUGACAAACCUCACAAAGUAAAUCAAGCGGCACAGGGUUCCUAAGUCAACAGGCAACAACAGCUCCCAAAUUUAACAAUAAAAAACAAACAAGGUUCAACCAGAAUCCCAACAGAUAGUCCCAAUUGGACAGUUAAUCGCACAAUUUCAACCAACCCAAAAGAAGCAUCAAAUUUAAGUGAAAAUACUCCAACCAGUACCACUGGAGGAAAUCACACAAUUGAGGAAAUAACCUCUAAUAGUCAACAACACCAACUAUUGAGCAAUCUAGGCAGCACCAAUCAAUAUUAAGAAAUUGAGGGACAACUUCCAAAUACCUCCACUGUAGAGGGUAGCCAAACGAAAUGGGACAGUAGCGGGUGUCAGUUAGGCCGGAGUCGCAUGAGGGGUUGCGGUGGUGUCAAUGAAGACAGCGGUGGUCAAAGGUGGAGUAGGAGCGAGCGACGCACAGCGAAGUGGUGGCACGCGAGCGCAAAUCAGUGGCUAGCGUCGGCGUCGCUUGAAGGGUCGGACGAUGGUGGGCUUAGUCGCGCGGUGAGAUGGGGAGCUGAGAGGGCUCUUGGUGGCGUGCGAUGAGGUUGGGGAACGGAGGGGGUUGGCGGCGUUGGUCGCUCGGCCGUGGCAGUCGCGAGAGCUGGUGAGAGAGGCGCGGCGCUGACGGCAGAGGAGAUGGGUGACGCGCCGAGUGGGUCGAGCAGAGAGAGACCGGUACAGAGACUGCGAUGGUGAGAGAGCUGGUGGCCUGCGGCUUGUGGCUUUGUGGCCGAGAGGGACGGCGGCAGUCCUCUGCUUGGGCGCGAGAUGCGGCGUGUGGAGGCGCAAGGAGGGAGAAGAGGUGGCGCCCGCAGAUCGGAGCUCUGGCGUGCGGCUAUGCUGGUGCGGGCAAGCUAGCGGCACGCUGGCUGGAGUGGAAACUUUCGGAGAUGGAGGGAGAUAGCGGCGUUGUGAGGUCUUCGGGUGACACAGAGGAGAAUAGGGGAAAAGAAAGAAAGAAGAAAGCGAGGAAAAGAGAGAAAAGAAAGAAAGAGAAGGA